RNAcentral lists this long non-coding RNA (1815 nucleotides) under Harpegnathos saltator (Jerdon's jumping ant). Its description in RNAcentral is "uncharacterized LOC109503751". Lineage: Eukaryota; Metazoa; Arthropoda; Insecta; Hymenoptera; Formicidae. The record is from RNAcentral.
AAGAAACGGCGAUUUCGUUACAAGCAUUCGUACAGAGAAUCUGCGUGUACGCCUCGUCGCGGCGAGCGCGCCUAUUAAUCGCUUCAUUAGGAGAAGCCGCCGCGUCGCGGCCGGCAAAUUGGGUAUGCGAUCGGCGGCCGAAAAGCAACAGCGAUCGAAACGGUGAAAUCAAGGUCAGAUCGAUGCAUCACGACCGCGAUCCGCGCGGCCGAGGAAACCGAGGCUUUUAAUCUCGAACGUAACGCCGCGCUCGGCUGCGUCCGCCGCGAGCGAUCUUCCGCUCGCAGAAUUCGAACGCUGCGAUCCGUAUUCGUGGAUUCCGGACGCCGGAGAGCGGAGCUUGUCGCGUGGAAACCUCGCACCUGAGACCAGCGAACUCGGCUUUCGAAUGAUCACGCUUGUCGAUGUUAGGAAUUCGAAGAAGCAGGUCUGCGAGCGAGCAAUUCGUGCCGGCCGAGCUCGACGAUGUACGCGAGAGAUACCGAAGGCAGCUCGCACUUUUUAACGCGCGACGCUCGUCGCGAUUUCUUCUCCGGCACCAGAUAGGCCGCGUUCAGGUGUUCAAGCGUGAUGCAAACGACAACGGGCUAAGCGACGGACUCUGGAUGAAUUCGAGGCCAGGUCGCGGAGAAGCUGCUCGCUUGCUACCCACGGAGCAGUGAUGUAGCUGAAGCGCGCGAAUCCUCACGCGAAUCUCUCCUCGUUGAAGCUUCCCUCUACCAGUCUCGUCAACACAAAGCAAUGUGCGUCGCGAUCACGACUGCCGACUACGAAAGAGAGCAAAACCGUCGAGCUCUUCAAAAUGACGGUUCGGUGAAAGAACAAUAUCGUCGUUGCGGUCAAGUAAUGAAGAACUCUCUCCCCGGAAAGGGUAGAAACGCCGGCUCCUGGGUAUAUUCGUGGAACGCUAAGUAGCACUACAAUACACGACGGCUACGUCCCUGCCGCGGAACUGGUAUACACACGUACACGUGUAUACACAUGCGUGCGCUUAUAUAGUACCGUCGUCGUCUAUCUAGCCCACGCGAUCGGCCGGCGAUAUUAGCCGGCGUAUAAAAUGCAUUUGUGAUCACGCCGGGAAUGUAAACGGCGCGCUCUUCGGGCGUACACGUCCCGCGCGGGCCUGGUUCGAAUUAUCAGCGAUAAAGUAUCGCUCGCUGGCUCGCGGAGCUGAACAAGACAUGACCGGACGAUAUAGAGCGCAAUAAGCGCCACCGCGUCUGUUACGGGUACGAGCCGAUUGCCAAUUCCGCGCGGCUGCAUCAUACGCGCGGCCGCGCGCACGCGUCUAGUUAUAAUAAUGGGUCCCGGAGCGAAAGAAAGACAGAGAGGCUGGGGCGGCAGAGGAGGAGAGAACGAGAGGGAACGAGAGAUAGAGAGACAUUUGAUAUUAGAUGCACGUGCAUAACGAUGCACUUCUCUCGCGGCCAACAGCGCUUGCAUAAUCCCCGCGACAGAAGCCGGUAGCGCGCUACCUGCCGAAUCGUAAAAUGAUCAUAACGCGCUGAAGAUUAAAACGUUCGAAGCGAUGAUUUACCUCGUCGGCUAGCCGCGCACCGGCGAUAUAUCAGCCCGGCGAAUUCUUCACGGAGGGAUGGAGAAAAACGAGCGGACUACCACUGAACGCGGCUGGAUCACGGGCUGGAGUACGGCAGAAAAAAGGGAACGGGAGAAACGGCGAAAUUUGCAUAGGCAUUUAAGAUUCUUAGGGACAUGAGCGCGGAUUAGGAUCGUCGAUACACAGCCGGGUCGUUAAUUGUAUUCACUAGAUAAGAGACCGCGCGCGCGAGAGAAAGAGGAGUGUUCGAGAAAGAG